AUUGAACGCUGGCGGCAGGCCUAACACAUGCAAGUCGAACGCAGUGGGGACGGGUGAGUAACACGUGGGUAACCUCCCAUCAGAGGGGAUACCACUUGGAAACAGGUGCUAAACCGAUACUGAUGGAUGGAACCGCGGUGCAUUAGCUAAUUGGUUAGGUAACGGCUCACCAAGGCCACGAUGCCUAGCCGACCUGAGAGGGUGAUCGGCCACACUGUGACUUGGACACGGCCCAGACUCCUACGUGAGGCAGCAGUAGGGAGUCUUCGGCAAUGGACGAAAGUCUGACCGAGAAACGCCGCGUGAGUGAAGAAGGUUUGCGGAUCGUAAAACUCUGUUGUUAGAGAAGCGGUAUCUAACCAGAAAGCCACGGCUAACUACGUGCCAGCAGCCGCGGUAAUAC
RNAcentral lists this ribosomal RNA (403 nucleotides) under uncultured bacterium. RNAcentral's name for it is "partial 16S ribosomal RNA". It matches the Rfam family "Bacterial small subunit ribosomal RNA", at positions 30 to 526 of the family's 1533-position model. The record is from RNAcentral.